Molecule: non-coding RNA, 45 nt
Filed under: Schistosoma mansoni
Lineage: Eukaryota; Metazoa; Platyhelminthes; Trematoda; Strigeidida; Schistosomatidae
Source: RNAcentral
AUCCAUCCGAUGAGUCCCAAAUAAGACGAAACACUCCUCCUGGAU